CGUGUUUUCUUCCAAGGGGCUUGCUGCGUAGAAAAUGCUCAGAGCAAAGUGAGAGCCAGGAGGGCGUCUUGUGGAGAAUGUGGCCGCUCUGGCUCAGGGACAUGCACAGACCUCUCAGUGCCACACGCAA
Non-coding RNA from Vicugna pacos (alpaca), 130 nucleotides. NCBI's taxonomy places the organism in Eukaryota, Metazoa, Chordata, Mammalia, Artiodactyla, Camelidae. The record is from RefSeq and is a predicted model, not a curated record.